UCAGCAUGCUUCAUAGUUUUUGUAGGAAAUCUUAGUUGCCUAUUUCUUGCUCCAUUGCAAGGUGUUUAAGUGAAGAAUUUCUUUUAUAUAAAGGAGUUUUGAAAUUGAUCUUGUAUAUGGACAUUUUAGUGGAUGAACUGAAGAUAUGAAUCACCGGCAAGAGAAGUUUGUAAGGGCACUUGUGUGAUUCCACACAAUGAAACUGAUGAUUUGAAGUCAGCUGGAGCUGUGAGGUCUGUGUUUGGACUGUUCGUUGAGCUAGUUAAAUCAUGGAACCUUCCUGACUGGCUCGUGCAUUGGGGCCAUCCCGCCAACAUGGAUGUUGUGCUCUUUGCCAUGGGUGGUUAUGGAACUUACCUGGGAUUUAUAAUCCGGUUUU
This is a long non-coding RNA of Ipomoea nil (Japanese morning glory), 379 nucleotides long. RefSeq lists it as uncharacterized. The transcript has 3 exons. The record is from RefSeq and is a predicted model, not a curated record. Lineage: Eukaryota; Viridiplantae; Streptophyta; Magnoliopsida; Solanales; Convolvulaceae.